AGCAGCCGCGGUAAUUCCAGCUCCAAUAGCGUAUAUUAAAGUUGUUGCAGUUAAAAAGCUCGUAGUUGAAUUUCGGGAUCAAUUUAUCGGUCGUGCAAUAGUACGUACUGGUUUUAUUGGUUCCUACCUUCUGAUGAACCAUGAUGUCAUUAAUUUGGUGUCAUGGGGAAUCAGGACUGUUACUUUGAAAAAAUUAGAGUGUUUAAAGCAGGCUCACGCUUGAAUACAUUAGCAUGGAAUAAUGAAAUAGGACGUUUGAUUCUAUUUUGUUGGUUUCUAGGAUCGACGUAAUGAUUAAUAGGGAUAGUUGGGGGCAUUAGUAUUCAAUUGUCAGAGGUGAAAUUCUUGGAUUUAUUGAAGACUAACUACUGCGAAAGCAUUUGCCAAGGAUGUUUUCAUUAAUCAAGAACGAAAGUUAGGGGAUCGAAGACGAUCAGAUACCGUCGUAGUCUUAACCAUAAACUAUGCCGACUAGGGAUCGGAUGAUGUAAUUUUUUAAUGACUCAUUCGGC
This 512-nucleotide ribosomal RNA is filed under the name uncultured Glomeraceae. RNAcentral describes it as "SSU rRNA". It matches the Rfam family "Eukaryotic small subunit ribosomal RNA", at positions 569 to 1084 of the family's 1831-position model. Lineage: Eukaryota; Fungi; Glomeromycota; Glomeromycetes; Glomerales; Glomeraceae. The record is from RNAcentral.